Non-coding RNA from Ixodes scapularis (black-legged tick), 75 nucleotides. The record is from Rfam. Lineage: Eukaryota; Metazoa; Arthropoda; Arachnida; Ixodida; Ixodidae.
CCCUGGUUAGCUCGGUUGGUAGAGCGCGCUCCACCUGUAAUGCAGAGGUCCCGGGCUCGAUACCCGGACCAGGCG